This 153-nucleotide ribosomal RNA is filed under the name Trebouxia sp. URa7. RNAcentral's name for it is "5.8S ribosomal RNA". It matches the Rfam family "5.8S ribosomal RNA". From Rfam's summary of the family: 5.8S ribosomal RNA (5.8S rRNA) is a component of the large subunit of the eukaryotic ribosome. Lineage: Eukaryota; Viridiplantae; Chlorophyta; Trebouxiophyceae; Trebouxiales; Trebouxiaceae. The record is from RNAcentral.
AACUCUCAACAAAGGAUAUCUUGGCUCCCGUAACGAUGAAGAACGCAGCGAAGUGAGAUACGUAGUGUGAAUUGCAGAAUUCAGUGAACCAUAGAAUCUUUUAAUGCAAAUUGCGCUCGAGGCGUGGGCCAAGAGCAGAUCAGCUUUAGCUUA